This 804-nucleotide ribosomal RNA is filed under the name uncultured fungus. Its description in RNAcentral is "eukaryotic LSU rRNA". The stretch from base 324 to 478 matches the Rfam family "5.8S ribosomal RNA". The record is from RNAcentral. Lineage: Eukaryota; Fungi.
GGAAGGAUCAUUACCGAAUCGUGCAAGGAGCGUAAGACGGUCGGAGGAAAAACCUCGGGGGGGUGUCUAGUAGUAUUUCGGAGUGCUGUCGCUGGGCUUUCGGCAAUGUGCACGUCUCCGGAGUCCGAUGGGGUGUGUAUACACCCAACCCCCCCUCGGCCUCGGUCUCCUUCCGAACCUCUGAAGCUCCUGUACCUCUCUAACACCAUUGUGCACCUUGUUGUAGGUCUCGUCGAGGGACCUAUGUAUUCCUUUUUUAUAAAGCUCUCUGCAUGUAUACAGAACGUUGUCUUUUGACAAACAUGUCAUAUAAACAUAUAUAUAACUUUCAGCAAUGGAUCUCUUGGCUCUCGCAUCGAUGAAGAACGCAGCGAAUCGCGAUAAGUAAUGUGAAUUGCAGAUUUUCCGUGAAUCAUCGAAUCUUUGAACGCACCUUGCGCUCCUUGGUAUUCCGAGGAGCAUGCCUGUUUGAGUGUCAUCGAAAUCUCAAAUCCUAAGCUUUGCUUCGGUCGCCGACUCGGAGCGAGCUCGGACUUGGACUUUGGGAGUCUGCGGGCGACCCGACUUUGCUCGGGACGCCGGCUCUCCUCAAAUGCAUUAGCGGUGGGCUUCGAGCCUUUGCACGGCACGGCCUGUUCGACGUCGUAGUGAUCGUCGCGGGCUGGAAGUGCUUGGAUCGACGUGUCUCAUGCUUCCAACCAUGUGCCGCGCCGCGCCGGGGUUGUUAAUCCCGGGGCCGGAACUCUUUUUUAAGGCUUGACCUCAAAUCAGGUAGGACUACCCGCUGAACUUAAGCAUAUCAUA